Molecule: ribosomal RNA, 407 nt
Filed under: uncultured microorganism
Description: bacterial SSU rRNA
Rfam family: Bacterial small subunit ribosomal RNA
Source: RNAcentral
GAGUUUGAUCUUGGCUCAGAUUGAACGCUGGCGGCAUGCCUUACACAUGCAAGUCGAACGGCAGCAUGAUCUAGCUUGCUAGAUUGAUGGCGAGUGGCGAACGGGUGAGUAAUACAUCGGAACGUGCCCUGUAGUGGGGAGUAACUAGUCGAAAGAUUAGCUAAUACCGCAUACGACCUGAGGGUGAAAGUGGGGGACCGCAAGGCCUCAUGCUAUAGGAGCGGCCGAUGUCUGAUUAGCUAGUUGGUGGGGUAAAGGCUCACCAAGGCGACGAUCAGUAGCUGGUCUGAGAGGACGAUCAGCCACACUUGGGACUGAGACACGGCCCAGACUCCUACGGGGAGGCAGCAGUUGGGGAAUUUUGGACAAUGGGCGAAAGCCUGAUCCAGCAAUGCCGCGUGUGUGAA